This 1785-nucleotide ribosomal RNA is filed under the name Salmonella enterica subsp. enterica serovar Indiana. Its description in RNAcentral is "partial 23S ribosomal RNA". It matches the Rfam family "Bacterial large subunit ribosomal RNA", at positions 1 to 1733 of the family's 2925-position model. The record is from RNAcentral. Lineage: Bacteria; Pseudomonadati; Pseudomonadota; Gammaproteobacteria; Enterobacterales; Enterobacteriaceae.
GGGUUGUGAGGUUAAGCGACUAAGCGUACACGGUGGAUGCCCUGGCAGUCAGAGGCGAUGAAGGGCGUGCUAAUCUGCGAUAAGCGCCGGUAAGGUGAUAUGAACCGUUAUAACCGGCGAUACCCGAAUGGGGAAACCCAGUGUGAUUCGUCACACUAUCAUUAACUGAAUCCAUAGGUUAAUGAGGCGAACCGGGGGAACUGAAACAUCUAAGUACCCCGAGGAAAAGAAAUCAACCGAGAUUCCCCCAGUAGCGGCGAGCGAACGGGGAGGAGCCCAGAGCCUGAAUCAGCAUGUGUGUUAGUGGAAGCGUCUGGAAAGGCGCGCGAUACAGGGUGACAGCCCCGUACACAAAAGCGCAUGUGCUGUGAGCUCGAUGAGUAGGGCGGGACACGUGGUAUCCUGUCUGAAUAUGGGGGGACCAUCCUCCAAGGCUAAAUACUCCUGACUGACCGAUAGUGAACCAGUACCGUGAGGGAAAGGCGAAAAGAACCCCGGCGAGGGGAGUGAAAAAGAACCUGAAACCGUGUACGUACAAGCAGUGGGAGCACCCUUCGGGGUGUGACUGCGUACCUUUUGUAUAAUGGGUCAGCGACUUAUAUUCUGUAGCAAGGUUAACCGAAUAGGGGAGCCGGAGGGAAACCGAGUCUUAAUUGGGCGUUAAGUUGCAGGGUAUAGACCCGAAACCCGGUGAUCUAGCCAUGGGCAGGUUGAAGGUUGGGUAACACUAACUGGAGGACCGAACCGACUAAUGUUGAAAAAUUAGCGGAUGACCUGUGGCUGGGGGUGAAAGGCCAAUCAAACCGGGAGAUAGCUGGUUCUCCCCGAAAGCUAUUUAGGUAGCGCCUCGUGAAUUCAUCUCCGGGGGUAGAGCACUGUUUCGGCUAGGGGGCCAUCCCGGCUUACCAACCCGAUGCAAACUGCGAAUACCGGAGAAUGUUAUCACGGGAGACACACGGCGGGUGCUAACGUCCGUCGUGAAGAGGGAAACAACCCAGACCGCCAGCUAAGGUCCCAAAGUCAUGGUUAAGUGGGAAACGAUGUGGGAAGGCCCAGACAGCCAGGAUGUUGGCUUAGAAGCAGCCAUCAUUUAAAGAAAGCGUAAUAGCUCACUGGUCGAGUCGGCCUGCGCGGAAGAUGUAACGGGGCUAAACCAUGCACCGAAGCUGCGGCAGCGAACGUAUCACCCAAGACAACUUUGCGGAGUUGACGAUUGACGGAGCGAAGCGACGUCAAAGCGUUCAUUAAAGUCGAGUUGGCUUAGGGAUACGUUCGUUGGGUAGGGGAGCGUUCUGUAAGCCUGUGAAGGUGUGCUGUGAGGCAUGCUGGAGGUAUCAGAAGUGCGAAUGCUGACAUAAGUAACGAUAAAGCGGGUGAAAAGCCCGCUCGCCGGAAGACCAAGGGUUCCUGUCCAACGUUAAUCGGGGCAGGGUGAGUCGACCCCUAAGGCGAGGCCGAAAGGCGUAGUCGAUGGGAAACGGGUUAAUAUUCCCGUACUUGGUGUUACUGCGAAGGGGGGACGGAGAAGGCUAUGUUGGCCGGGCGACGGUUGUCCCGGUUUAAGCGUGUAGGUGUGUGUUCCAGGUAAAUCCGGUUCACUUUAACACUGAGGCGUGACGACGAGGCACUACGGUGCUGAAGCAACAAAUGCCCUGCUUCCAGGAAAAGCCUCUAAGCAUCAGGUAACAUCAAAUCGUACCCCAAACCGACACAGGUGGUCAGGUAGAGAAUACCAAGGCGCUUGAGAGAACUCGGGUGAAGGAACUAGGCAAAAUGGUGCCGUAA